RNAcentral lists this long non-coding RNA (1091 nucleotides) under Heterocephalus glaber (naked mole-rat). RNAcentral describes it as "lncRNA (ENSHGLG00000036428.1)". The record is from RNAcentral. Lineage: Eukaryota; Metazoa; Chordata; Mammalia; Rodentia; Bathyergidae.
CUUUCUGACCAGGUGCUGUCCAGAGAAGCAGCCCACCUCGCAUGGCCAGACGGGAAGCCACCACAGCCAUGGAGCAUUCAGAAUCCCACAGAGGAUUCAAAGGAAGAUGGAAAACCCCAUGCUGUUGGAACAGCCAGCGAGGAAAUGUUCUAAAAUGUGGACACUCCAGGCUCCACACAUAAAUGGAAUUAGCCUGGAGAAUCCCAUCGAGCCAAGAGGCAUGCCGGGUAGGAUGGCGUAUGCAAAACAUGCAGGGCUUGCUGACUGCGGACGUGGCCACCUUGCUGUCCCUCUGAGGUUGACAGCAGCUGCCACUGGGAGAUUUCCUCGUCCCUGAUGCUGUGUGACCUUGGAAUCAGAGGCAUUUUUCUUUCAUUUUUAAAAAAUUUUCAUCAUUAUUGCUCCAUCCACAUUCAAAGCCCCUAGUGAUGCCAUUUGGAACAUUUUUGGCCUUCGUUCUAAUUUAUUUUAAGAACCAGAUUCAGCUUAAGAUUUUUUUUUAAUGUAGCUCGCUUAGAAGAGGGUGAAACAGCUGGUUUCUGCUUUUUAUUUUGUGGAUUUUCAGCAUAUUCAAGGUUCAAGCACAAGAGAAGAUUUGUAAUGCUGUUGCCUUAAUGAUGACGACAGUGAUAAUGACUGGAUCAUACCGAUGACAACAUCUCAUUUUGUGGCGUAUGAUAUGGAUGAUCUCACUUACUCUUCAUAACUCUAAGAGAAAGCUAUUACAAUCUGCACCACGCAUGGUCAAACGUAAGCCAAGACGUUUUCCUAAGCAGAGAAUUGGAAAGCAGAAUAUUGCCAACCGAUAAAGGAUGAUAAUGGUGUGUUUCCCCGAGUGCCACAUCAACUCACAAAUGUUCAAGCAAAUUAGGUUUCCUGGUUAUUCCACCAGGUUCACAUAGCAACAACAGCACAUAACUUAUGCACUGAAGAAUAAAAACUGUGACACGCUUUAAUACCAACAAGAAAAAGUAAGGUUUCUCUCCUUGUUUCUUUAUGUGUAAUAAUCAUAGCUCUACCUGGAAUUUUGUAUAAUGUAUGUGUGGGACCAGGAUUUGAAAAAAAAGAAAAGAUGAGAUCACACUGGUAGG